GGGGCGAUAAGAGACUGAACGAACUCGCGGCGACUUUUGAUGACGCCACACCGGGUGUAUCGCUGUUUCCGGUGUGCUGAUCUCGGUGUUUUUUGUUUGUUUAGAUUGUUUACGGUUAGCGACCAGCGGGAUGAAAGGAUGGACGCUGAAAGAUAAAGGGAAGCAAAGAUCUCGGGAAGAAAGUGUUGCUGGCCCGGACUCACACACCUAUGUCACGUGCUUUAGCUCCCCGUGCAUCUGCUUGGCGGGACUGGCGAGUGGAGGAGGUACAUCAUUCAACUCUGCCACCAUGAAUUUGAUUGACUUAGAUUCCUACAACAUGUGAGAAGAUAGAGAAUUGUUCCUGUGCAGGACUAGCUGAUUUCACGUCAUACAUGUUUCAUCUGUGCUGUUGCAAAUGAAAGAAUUUAUUUUCUUGGGUAUGGCAGGGAGGCAUCAGGAAGUCUUGUGAGCAGACAUAUAUUUGGGAGAACAAAACUGGAAGGUUCUUGAGGGUCUCACUAGCAUUUAGAAAAAGAAGCAAACAACUGCUGGGUUUGGAGACUGGAAAAAACAAGUUCAGAGGAAAGAGCAUCUCCCACUAUCAAGUUCAGAGGAAAGAACAUCUCACACUAUCGAGCUACCUGCAAGCUGAAAAGAGCUCCAAGGUUACUUGCAGUCUUUGUGAACAUCACCCAUGCUGAGCUACAAAAUGUUUCCAGUUAUAUAUCAUUACCUCCAGCAAUUUUCCAGCACCAGUGGUGUUCUGGGGCUUGGAUUCUUUUGCACUGUAAAAGACAGAUAAGAAUCUUUACAUAGGGGGAGUCCCAGCUGUUAGCUCAAGGUAAGAGUGGCUAGUGAAUGUCCUGUGAAUUCCUUAAGAGGGAAGAAGGUUAAUUAAGAGAUUGAAUCAUCAGGGAAUUCUAGAAAGAGAGAUUAGUGUGCUGUGCUACAUUUUUAAGUGGUCAGGUAAAAAGCUAAAAGUUUUUAUUUAGUAAAAAUCACGAGUAAGGCAACGAUUGUCUCUUAACUCAGCAGUCACUUUUCUCCCAGCGAGCAUAGGGAGCAUGGGAUAACCAAACAACCUAGUAAACAACAGGAAUGCUGGCAAUCAGCUUUUGGUACCUGUCUGCACAUUUUGUUAUGGUUUCCUGCUAGGAGAAGCUUCUUAGCACCAAUUGCUUAAGGCUGUUAAGUAUAAGUUUAAUUUGCCCAAGAAAUGGAACUUGGCCCUUCCAAAGCUCUGGCCUCAGUGGCAGCACAGGCCUUCAGGAAAGAUUACUUUUCCCCGAGCAAAUGGGCUGAUUACAUUUGUCAUUAUCUUCUCAGGGGAAACAGGAAGGAACAGUAAGUCUCUGAGCUAAAGAUCUUGGGUAAUAAAACAAGAAGUUUGAGAAUCUGUUAGUGCAGUGUUAGUUUAGGUUAUUCAUCUCUAUCUGCCAGUGAGGUGAAGCUAGGGCAUGCUUAUUUUUUCUAUCCAUCUAGGCAGCUAUGAAUCAAAAGCUUUGGGUGUGUAGUAAUUCUAUGUCCUUGGAUAUCUGGAAAUGUCUUGGAUGGGAUGCUUUUGCUUGGGCCCUAAACACUGACCAAAUGCCUGUCAAUAAGGAUAAUUGCAGGAAGGCAGAUCUCUGCAAUUAGACAGGAAGGGGGAAUAAGGACCUGAUAGUGGGAAACAGGUCUCACACAUAGCUAAGGAAUGUAAUCAGUAAACUAAGACCUGCUAUUGGAAAACAGGUUUCACACAUAGCUAGGGAGUGUAAUCAGUAAACUCCAAAUGCAUGGGAGUAAUUGUUCCCAGUAAAUGAUCAGGUAGUGCCUAACUGUGGGAACUAAAUCCCAAGUUUGUUGCAAAAUGGAAUAAGCUACAGGAAGAAUCUACAGCAAGAAACAGCCGCUUUCAUUCAUAAGACUGCAACACCAAAUACGACCUUCGUAUUUGUUUAAAAAUUUCCACGCAGAGGCCCUGGCUUUAGUGGAUCAUCUCAGGAAAUGAUGGCUGUAUAACUACUGUGUGAUCUUGUGGCUUAUAGCAACUAUGAUAGGAAUUGUGUUUUAUUAUUCCCAUUUACAUCCUUAUGCUUGUCAUUUCAUAUCAAAUAGGGAUAAUUAGAGCACAAAGAGUAAGAAUAAAUAUGUUAUUUAUCAUUUGGAUGUCAAUUCUUUUGUUCUACCCAGACCCCAAUCUUGGUAAACAAGGAGAGUGACCUCAAGGACUGACCCCUGGCAUUUUCUACUUAACAGCAGUGAGCAUCUGUGACAGGUGGAAGCAUCAGUUCUUGGGUACCUAGAACACUAACCCUACAAGUGCUACAGUUCUGAUGUGAUAAAAAAAGGUGGCAUUUUUGUUUCCAGCUGGCAUGAAAGCAUUCAAAUAAGCAUAUGUAUCGGAUUCCUCAGUCUUUAAAAAAAAUAAAUAGGUUUGUGGUCCUCACUGGCCUUCCUCAGAAUCUAUUGCAGUUCUUUGGAGGCCCAGCAAAUUGGUAUUCCUUAACUUGUAACUGAGGCCCAGGUUACAGUUUUUGAUUCAGGGUCUGAUGCCUUUGGUCACAAGUUUGUUUGCUUAUCUUCCUCCCUUCCUCCCUUCCUUCCCUCCUUCC
Molecule: non-coding RNA, 2576 nt
Organism: Cricetulus griseus (Chinese hamster)
Lineage: Eukaryota; Metazoa; Chordata; Mammalia; Rodentia; Cricetidae
Source: RefSeq, a predicted model, not a curated record